AUAAAUGCAAAAACCUUUCAGCUUUUUUUUUUAUACAUAUACAGGUAUAUUUUCUCUACGUUUAUUAAUUGACAUUUCACACUACUGCCUGCCAACGGUAAUUAUACACACACAUUUACAUACACAUGCACAUGAAAAUUGCCAAUUGCUCCAAUAGCAGUAGGUAAGGUACCGUUAUGGCAGAGGAAAUGGCUCUUGGCUUGGCGGAAAUAUUUUUUGUAAGUGCACACCCAGCGAAUAGGACGGGUUUCUAAUUAGAUUAGCAAACGAAUAGGUACAGAGGUGCUCAGCUUGCCAACAAAACUAUUUUUGACAAGUUGUUUCCCUCGAUCGAUUGAAUAAGCCAGAGAGAGAGAGAGAAAGGGAGAGAUGGAGAGAAGGGAGAGUAAAAGAGAGAGCGUGAGAGCGGGAGAACGGGACUAGGCAUACAUCUGUGUACUCUUCCUAUCUACCGAAAAAAGUACACGCUAAUAUAUGUAAACAAAAUAAGCGAGAGAUGCAAAUGGACAAGACGCAGCCCUGGUCAGCAGUAGGGGCCGAUAUGUUGAUAUGACUAGUCCCUGGCUUCUCUUUUCAAAUCGAUCAGAGCACGAUCACGUGAUCUCCGUUUAAUUAGUAUUUGUGCAGAUUUCGUUGAAAUGUUCGCACACAAACACACAGACACACACACACACACCUCUUUUGGAUUUAUAAAUAAAUGCCCAAGUCCACGGCACUGCGCUAUCGCUCGCUCAUGCGCUGCGCCUCUAUUCUGGCACAGCGCAAAGCCGAUAGCAUGACAAACCGUACCUGUAAGAACAAUAAACAAAAACAACAACAACAAAAAGAGCAAUGUGCACUUGACAAUGUUUGGGGACAGUCACUUCAAAAGCGUAUGUGUUAAAUUGAUACUGGGAAUUUAUGUUUAGAUUUAGAUCAGACAACUUCAUCACAAGUCUUUCUGAAGAUAAUUGAAAUAAUUGUUAUUAUUAUUGCGAUUGGAUUACUAUGUCAUGGAACUAUCAUGUGGACGAUCUAUUUGCCAGGAGCCGUACGAAAUUAGUUUCACAUAAAUGCAAAAAGCGCGCCAAAAAAAAAACCAUCCAAGCAACAGAUGUAAUCUACAUUUUUGUUGUGGUUCCAAAGCCGCAACACCACAAUUCCCGGUACUCAGUCAGUACACACAUACAUACGUAUGUACGUACAUAUGUACAUGCCAUUUUAUGAUUAAAAUUCAAGUGUAGUUUUGUAAAAGUAUAUUUCUCAACUCCGUCCAUGCUCUUUUCCUCUAAUGACAAAUAUUUAAGUGUUUCCACACCACACGUUCCGUUAUAUGUACAUAUCUCCCAAUCUCUCUUCCCACCCACCAUGUACCAUCAACGUUUAUAUCUCACUCUCCAUGCAAGGUGGAGCCACUGGACGAGAAAGAGAUGGAGAGCGAUCGCACGGCAGGGGAUCGCUACGCAAAAUUAUUCCCUUUAUUCCAGCUAUAAUACCGAUCCCAUCUGAUCAAUAUCUCGAUUUUUCGUAUCUACUAAAUUGUUGAUUGUUUGAUUGCUUAGUGUCUGAGAACUUUGCAACAAACGCUGCCUUCUGGCUGUUACAUACAUCAUAAUACAUCAAUAUAAUGUCGGCUUCGUAAAUACACACAAGUAAAGUACAUUUGUUAGCAACUACGGACAUCGCUACAUCGACUUCAUGCUAAUUAAGAAUAUACAUACAUACAUAUUUAUACUAUUCCUCUUGUACGCUUUAAGCAUGCAUUUUUUUUCUAAAUACACUACUGUCAGAAGAAAAGCUCCACUCCAGCAGCACACAACACUGUCAGCCAAAUGCAACACUGCUAUAACUUACUAAAGCAAUGGCCGAAUACUGUGAUGGCGGUGUUCAAGCAUAUAUGUGUAUGUGUGUACGUGUGGCAGCCUGUAGACUGUGUACGUGAGCUAACGAGAGCGAGCACGAACUAGGCAAAAUGUGAAAUGUCAAAACAUUGCGUAAAUUUUCGCCCCCUCAAUAGCACACCUUAUAUUAUAACUAGUUUUUGCAACUAAUAAAAUUUAAAAUAUUACAUACACAACCCGA
Molecule: long non-coding RNA, 2061 nt
Organism: Drosophila pseudoobscura
Lineage: Eukaryota; Metazoa; Arthropoda; Insecta; Diptera; Drosophilidae
Exons: 2
Source: RefSeq, a predicted model, not a curated record